UACGUAGGGUGCAAGCGUUGUCCGGAAUUAUUGGGCGUAAAGAGCGUGUAGGCGGCCCGAUUAGUCUGCUGUGAAAGUCCAGGGCUCAACCCUGGAAUGCCGGUGGAUACUGUCGGGCUAGAGUCCGGAAGGGGCGAGUGGAAUUCCUGGUGUAGCGGUGAAAUGCGCAGAUAUCAGGAGGAACACCAAUGGCGAAGGCAGCUCGCUGGGACGUGACUGACGCUGAUGUGCGAAAGCGUGGGGAGCAAACAGG
This 253-nucleotide ribosomal RNA is filed under the name uncultured bacterium. RNAcentral's name for it is "partial 16S ribosomal RNA". It matches the Rfam family "Bacterial small subunit ribosomal RNA", at positions 524 to 776 of the family's 1533-position model. The record is from RNAcentral.